CGCCUCCUCUGUCGUUACGUCACCGUCUCCUCCGCGUGAAAUAAGGCUCACACGUCCUCACGGCGCAUGCGUGGCCCCGCCCCCCUCUGCGCCUAGAAGCGGAAUGAUGACUCUAUUUGCGUGGCCCGUGCCCCCGCCGUCUUUGUGAGGAAUGAAAAGCUUUGCGCCUGCGUAGCGUGCAGGUGCGUAGCGCGCACCCUCGAGUCGUGGUUUGUGGGAGCAUUUUAUGGAGGAAAAUGAUAAUGCCUCCACCUUGUGGUUUCGGAUAGUGGAACCGCAGUCCCGCUAGGGGCGCCAGAGGCGCUCGGAUGGCCCCGGUGGAUCGCCGUUUACCGCGGCUCGACCACCUACGUUCAGAUGUUUAAAUUUCCACGGUACUGCACCUCCUUUCCCGAUGUCAGCGGUCAGCGGGCCGCCCCCGCGUGACAGUGCGUGCGCUGACUGAGAGGGAUCCGUGGUUUAAUCGGGGUCCAUGGGCUCCAGAAGAGAACAGAGAGAUGAGAAGUAGAUGCAAAAGCCAGGUCCAGACUGGAAAUAAAACUGAAAGGGCGAGGGCUACGCCCUCCAUCUUGCCCCGAAUCCUCCAUGUUGGGGCAGCAGCCAUGUGCUCGGCAAGGCUUCUUCCCGGAAGCCCAAGCCUCUGCUAGCCACACCCAGGAUUUCUCUAACCAAUGACAAUCAAGGGACGUGUGCACCAUAGAUAUGACCACAUCCUGUGUAAAGAGACUUGUGCCUGGUCAAUCGGCAGGGCCCACAGUCCCCUCUCCUCCCCUUACUCCACCCCCCUAUAAAACUCCUCUUCCCACCGGGCUAGCUCUCUCUCUGCCACUUGCUGCUGUGUCAGUAAGGAGGGUAGGGGAGCCAAGCCCGGGUUUGAAUAAAAGACUCUCUGCUUUUGCAUCGGACUCGGCUGGCUCCCUGUUGGUCUAUUGGGGAUCUUGAAAUCUGGGCAUAACAUUUGGGGGCUCGCCCGGGGUUCCCAAGACUAUCGAGGGACCCGCGAUCCGGAGAGUCUGACUGACCGCGGUAGGUGUCUAUGUCGUUGUGUGUUCUGUUCUGUGCGAGCUCGUUUCUGAAAUCUGUAAGUGCCCGAAGCGGUCUAGGUGGACACACUGCGAAAGACCACAGGCGGGGGAGAGUUGGAAGACAUUCCGCUCCCCAGGAGGGAUGCGUAUUCCCCUCAUGAGGGAUGUGGUUUCCCCUCACAGAUUUGAGACGAGGCAGGUCGCUCCUGCCAGUUUGGCAUAAGGCCAUCAUCUAGUUGCUUCCAUGGAGUUGGAAGGCUGUAUUUUCGGGCCCUUUUAGUUUUCUGUGUUUGUAUGUUUUUUCUAUGGACUUACUGGAUGGACAUUAUAGGAUAGACUCAAACUACUCCUUUAAGUAUUACGAUUGAUCAUUUCAAGGAGAUUGAGGGAGGCUUUAGAGCUCCCUCAGGAGUUGGGAAGUUGUUAGGAAUUGAAUGGAUUGUUUAAACUCUGAAUGAAUGUCUGGUGAAAGUAUGCGAGUGUGGAGGGAGGGGGCCUGCUCUCUCCCCUCCUUUGUGUGGCUCCAUGACUUCAGUCGGGUGGGCAUCUGAGUAAGGAUCUGUGAAAACAGGUCACCCCCUCCCCAAAUAAAUGCGUCUGAGAUUUCUGUGCACGUGUAGAGAGAAAGGCUGGCUUAAAACUAAUGUGUGCACUGUCCGAUUUUGGAUAGAGU
Long non-coding RNA from Myotis daubentonii (Daubenton's bat), 1698 nucleotides. RefSeq lists it as uncharacterized. NCBI's taxonomy places the organism in Eukaryota, Metazoa, Chordata, Mammalia, Chiroptera, Vespertilionidae. The record is from RefSeq and is a predicted model, not a curated record.